GCUUUAGCAGCACAUAUGCUAAAAUGGGAAUGAUGCAGAGAAGAUUAGCAUGGCCUCUGGGCAAGGAUGACUUGCAAAUUCAUGAAGCAUUUCAUACUUUU
RNAcentral lists this small nuclear RNA (101 nucleotides) under Cervus elaphus hippelaphus. The record is from RNAcentral. Lineage: Eukaryota; Metazoa; Chordata; Mammalia; Artiodactyla; Cervidae.